This 421-nucleotide ribosomal RNA is filed under the name uncultured Dysgonomonas sp. RNAcentral's name for it is "bacterial SSU rRNA". It matches the Rfam family "Bacterial small subunit ribosomal RNA", at positions 356 to 774 of the family's 1533-position model. The record is from RNAcentral. Lineage: Bacteria; Pseudomonadati; Bacteroidota; Bacteroidia; Bacteroidales; Dysgonomonadaceae.
GAGGAAUAUUGGUCAAUGGGCGAGAGCCUGAACCAGCCAAGUCGCGUGAAGGAAGACUGCCUUAUGGGUUGUAAACUUCUUUUAUACAGGAAUAAAAAGGCUUACGUGUAGGCCAUUGCAAGUACUGUAUGAAUAAGCAUCGGCUAACUCCGUGCCAGCAGCCGCGGUAAUACGGAGGAUGCGAGCGUUAUCCGGAUUUAUUGGGUUUAAAGGGUGCGCAGGCGGGCUUUUAAGUCAGCGGUGAAAUCUGGACGCUUAACGUCCAAACUGCCGGUGAAACUGGGAGUCUUGAGUAUGGAUGAAGUGCGGGGAAUUUCUUGGUGUGCGGGUACCAGCAUAGAUAUAACGAGGAACUCCGAUUGCGUAGGCAGCUUACUAAGCCAUAACUGACGCUCAUGCACGAAAGCGUGGGGAUCAAACA